UGGGGAAUCUUGGACAAUGGGGGCGAACCCUGAUCCAGCCAUGCCGCGUGAGUGAUGAAGGCCUUAGGGUCGUAAAGCUCUUUCGCCUGUGAAGAUAAUGACGGUAGCAGGUAAAGAAACCCCGGCUAACUCCGUGCCAGCAGCCGCGGUAAUACGGAGGGGGUUAGCGUUGUUCGGAAUUACUGGGCGUAAAGCGCACGUAGGCGGACCAGAAAGUUGGGGGUGAAAUCCCGGGGGCUCAACCCCGGAACUGCCUCCAAAACUAUUGGUCUAGAGUUCGAGAGAGGUGAGUGGAAUUCCAAGUGUAGAGGUGAAAUUCGUAGAUAUUUGGAGGAACACCAGUGGCGAAGGCGGCUCACUGGCUCGAUACUGACGCUGAGGUGCGAAAGUGUGGGGAGCAAACAGGAUUAGAUACCCUGGUAGUCCACACCGUAAAACGAUGAAUGCCAGUCGUCGGGUAGCAUG
This 465-nucleotide ribosomal RNA is filed under the name uncultured bacterium. RNAcentral describes it as "bacterial SSU rRNA". It matches the Rfam family "Bacterial small subunit ribosomal RNA", at positions 355 to 834 of the family's 1533-position model. The record is from RNAcentral.